CGUAGGGUGCGAGCGUUAAUCGGAAUUACUGGGCGUAAAGCGUGCGCGGGCGGUUUUGUAAGCCAGAUGUGAAAGCCCCGGGCUUAACCUGGGAAUGGCAUUUGGGACUGCAAGGCUUGAGUGCGGCAGAGGAGACUGGAAUUCCUGGUGUAGCAGUGAAAUGCGUAGAUAUCAGGAGGAAUACCGAUGGCGAAGGCAGGUCUCUGGGCUGACACUGACGCUCAUGCACGAAAGCGUGGGGAGCAAACAGGAUUAGAUACCCUGGUAGUCCACGCCCUAAACGAUGUCGACUGGUUGUUGGGGGUUUGACACUCUCAGUAACGAAGCUAACGCGUGAAGUCGACCGCCUGGGGAGUACGGCCGCAAGGUUA
This 371-nucleotide ribosomal RNA is filed under the name uncultured organism. RNAcentral's name for it is "bacterial SSU rRNA". It matches the Rfam family "Bacterial small subunit ribosomal RNA", at positions 526 to 896 of the family's 1533-position model. The record is from RNAcentral.